Long non-coding RNA from Mya arenaria, 257 nucleotides. RefSeq lists it as uncharacterized. The record is from RefSeq and is a predicted model, not a curated record. The transcript has 3 exons. NCBI's taxonomy places the organism in Eukaryota, Metazoa, Mollusca, Bivalvia, Myida, Myidae.
GUAGGAUUUGGAUUAUUUUCUAUCAAAAGACACUAGCAGGACAAAAAUGAUUUUGUGGAUACUAACUUUACUCUGCGCCGUUCGAUCAUGUUUGACAGUAAUUAUAGACGGCAAAGAGCUGGAUUGCAGUAAAAAUUGUGUGUGCUGUAAUGGAGGAACGUCAAAAUGUGUAAGUGAUAAUCUUUGUAAGGACGGAUGUGUUGAAACCAUGUAUGGUUACAGAUGUCAUAACCCUUGUCCCGAAAACUAUUACACGU